This 460-nucleotide ribosomal RNA is filed under the name uncultured bacterium. RNAcentral describes it as "partial 16S ribosomal RNA". It matches the Rfam family "Bacterial small subunit ribosomal RNA", at positions 338 to 795 of the family's 1533-position model. The record is from RNAcentral.
CCUACGGGAGGCAGCAGUGAGGAAUAUUGGUCAAUGGACGAGAGUCUGAACCAGCCAAGUAGCGUGAAGGAUGACUGCCCUAUGGGUUGUAAACUUCUUUUAUAAAGGAAUAAAACGAGGCACGUGUGCCUUUUUGCAUGUACUUUAUGAAUAAGGAUCGGCUAACUCCGUGCCAGCAGCCGCGGUAAUACGGAGGAUCCGAGCGUUAUCCGGAUUUAUUUGGUUUAAAGGGAGCGAAGAUGGGUUGUUAAGUCAGUUGUGAAAGUUUGCGGCUCAACCGUAAAAUUGCAAUUGAUACUGGCAGUCUUGAGUACAGUUGAGGUAGGCGGAAUUCGUGGUGUAGCGGUGAAAUGCUUAGAUAUCACGAAGAACUCCGAUUGCGAAGGCAGCUUACUAAACUGCCACUGACAUUGAUGCUCGAAAGUGUGGGUAUCAAACAGGAUUAGAUACCCCUGUAGUC